Molecule: ribosomal RNA, 249 nt
Filed under: uncultured bacterium
Lineage: Bacteria
Description: partial 16S ribosomal RNA
Rfam family: Bacterial small subunit ribosomal RNA
Source: RNAcentral
UGAGUAACACGUAUGCAACCUGCCUGCCACAGCCGGAUAAUCGGGAGAAAUUCCGCCUAAUACGGCAUAAUGCAUCGACGGGACAUCCUGUUGGUGCCAAAGGUUAAUUCCGGUGGCGGAUGGGCAUGCGUCGCAUUAGUUAGUUGGCGGUGUAACGGACCACCAAGACGACGAUGCGUAGGGGUCCUGAGAGGAAGGUCCCCCACACUGGUACUGAGACACGGACCAGACUCCUACGGGAGGCAGCAG